UACAGAGACUGCAAGCGUUAUUCGGAUUCACUGGGCGUAAAGGGUGCGCAGGCGGCCGUGUGUGUGAGGCGUGAAAGCCCGGGGCUUAACCCCGGAAUUGCACCUCAAACUACACGGCUAGAGCAUUGGAGAGGGUAGCGGAAUUCACGGUGUAGCAGUGAAAUGCGUAGAUAUCGUGAGGAACACCAGAGGCGAAGGCGGCUACCUGGACAAUUGCUGACGCUCAGGCACGAAAGCGUGGGGAGCAAACAGG
Molecule: ribosomal RNA, 253 nt
Filed under: uncultured bacterium
Lineage: Bacteria
Description: partial 16S ribosomal RNA
Rfam family: Bacterial small subunit ribosomal RNA
Source: RNAcentral